UACGGAGGGGACUAGCGUUGCUCGGAAUUACUGGGCGUAAAGCGCACGUAGGCGGAUUUGUAAGUCAGGGGUGAAAUCCCGGGGCUCAACCUCGGAACUGCCUUUGAUACUGCAAAUCUCGAGUCCGGAAGAGGUGAGUGGAAUUCCUAGUGUAGAGGUGAAAUUCGUAGAUAUUAGGAAGAACACCAGUGGCGAAGGCGGCUCACUGGUCCGGUACUGACGCUGAGGUGCGAAAGCGUGGGGAGCAAACAGG
This 253-nucleotide ribosomal RNA is filed under the name uncultured bacterium. RNAcentral describes it as "partial 16S ribosomal RNA". It matches the Rfam family "Bacterial small subunit ribosomal RNA", at positions 524 to 776 of the family's 1533-position model. The record is from RNAcentral.